UAACCAUUUAAUAUUGGUUUGAUACCACUGUGGCCUAUCCCGUCUGCAGAAAUCGUGUCGCAUGCCAUUGAAAAUGUGUUGCAGGUGUGGUGCUCUCGUUGCCAAUGCUUAUGAAUGGAAGGCCCAAACAUUGAAAUUAUGUGAAUGCGAAUUUGGAGCGGCACAAGGAAAAACUACAAAGAAAGUGCGGAAUGGGCUUUUGCAAUCUUUAGAGGACUUCAAAAACGACAGCAGCAAGUGAAGCAAAUAGCCGCAGGUUGCGACCGCAGUUGCACCGCACACAAUGUGGCAGUUGCUGUUGCUGUAAUUACAGUGCACUCCCAGACAGUGAGCCCUCCCCGCGCUGCCCGCACUGAGCAAAUUAGCAUCUGGUUAACAAGUGCGCCGCGGUUAAACGGUGAAAAUCUUCGACUCUUUGGUGGCGCAGCAUAAUUAGAAUCAAUUAUAUUGAAUUGGAGCAGACAGUGAGUGCAAGAUGGGAGUGGACUGGCAGCCGACUUUGUAAUUGAUGAGAGAAGCCGUUGAUUUGUUUUUCACAUUUAAGUAAGAAUUUUGGAGAUAAUCCCAGAGUCAUUUCAUUAUGUUCACUUUUAGAUUUUUUAAGUGAUAACCUCUAAAGAUGUUUUUUAAAUUGUUAAAGUUAGUUCCAAGUUUCAAAUUAUCACAGACUUUAGACUUGACAUAAAAGAUUCUUUUUUGUUAUUUCUUAAGCAAUAUUAAAAACCAAGUAGACAAGUUUCUGAUAAUAAGGAAACAAAAUUUAAACAGUAGGAUUUAUAUCAUUUUUUUGCUAGCAACUCAUUAAUUUUUUUUUGUUCGACACAGUACAAUAACAAGUCAAACAAAUGAGAGGAAAACUGAAAAUGAUUUUGCGAAAAAUCUUUGGGAUUUCAAUAUGUAAACUCGCUUUCAUGUGUAUGGGUAUUGUAUGUUUUUCUUGGUUGUUAAAAAUAGAAAAUUUUGUAUUUUUCUUAUUUAAUGCUUUUGGCCGUUGCCCGUUUGCCUUUCGCUGGUUUUUGCUGUUGCUGUUCUGGCCAUUCGACUUGUAAAUCGUCGGCUUGCAUUAGCCAUGUAUUUGUUGCAUUUGUUAAUAUUCGAAAUUCGAAUUGUUGUUGCGGCGGCGAUGUUGAAACCGCAGAAAGAGCACGAAAUACGCAACAAAAACAAUGGUCGAGCGUCUAGUGAUCGGCGCUGCACAGUGGGCCUAAGAAGAGGCCUAAACUUUGACCUUGUUAGGAUCAGAAAGGUCCUUUGAAUAUUGUAAAAGAUUAAACAAAUUCUACUAAACGUUACGAACAAUUUUUAAAAUAUUUUUAUCUAGAAUACUGUUAAAUAUUUAUAAACUGACACAUUACUAUAUUU
This is a long non-coding RNA of Drosophila gunungcola (fruit fly), 1362 nucleotides long. RefSeq lists it as uncharacterized. Lineage: Eukaryota; Metazoa; Arthropoda; Insecta; Diptera; Drosophilidae. The record is from RefSeq and is a predicted model, not a curated record. The transcript is spliced from 3 exons.